This 73-nucleotide transfer RNA is filed under the name Mus musculus (house mouse). RNAcentral describes it as "tRNA-Ala". The record is from RNAcentral. Lineage: Eukaryota; Metazoa; Chordata; Mammalia; Rodentia; Muridae.
AGGGGUGUAGCUUAGCUGGUGGAAUGCUUGCCUAGCAUGCAUGAAGCCCCAGGUUCCAUUCCAAGCACCACUG